This is a long non-coding RNA of Leptidea sinapis, 470 nucleotides long. RefSeq lists it as uncharacterized. NCBI's taxonomy places the organism in Eukaryota, Metazoa, Arthropoda, Insecta, Lepidoptera, Pieridae. The record is from RefSeq and is a predicted model, not a curated record. The transcript has 3 exons.
UAAUUACCUACUUCCGUAACUUUAUCCUCUCAAUUUUCUAAUCUUUAAUAGCCCUGCAACAUGUUCAAUAAGUGCUGUGUUGUGACCUGCUAGUAGACGAAAAGACGUCUGUUUUCAUAUGUUUCCAAAAAUUCCUGCCAUCAGUGAUCAUGGUUAUUGUAGAAAGACGUGUCAUUUUGAUCACACAUAUUGAAAACUAGAGGUCAUGCAGAACCACACAAAAUAGAUAAUAAACAUGGUGACAUUGAUGACGCUGUGCAUCACACUCCAUCAAGGAAGAGGAGACCACAUAUCAUUUUCAAGAAAAUGAAACUUUCACCUCAUUGUGCAAGUCUUUAUUAUGAAAUUACCAAAUCACGAAAGCAGCUUAACUUUGAUUUAAGAGCUUAAAGUGCAUUUUCACAGAAAAUCAUUUAUAAAGUUUACAGAGAAAAUGAACCCUAUUGCAAAGAAAUUUUUGUAGAUGCAGA